Molecule: ribosomal RNA, 588 nt
Filed under: Fusarium avenaceum
Lineage: Eukaryota; Fungi; Ascomycota; Sordariomycetes; Hypocreales; Nectriaceae
Description: eukaryotic LSU rRNA
Rfam family: 5.8S ribosomal RNA (bases 216-369)
Source: RNAcentral
GGAAGUAAAAGUCGUAACAAGGUCUCCGUUGGUGAACCAGCGGAGGGAUCAUUACCGAGUUUACAACUCCCAAACCCCUGUGAACAUACCUAUAAUUUGCCUCGGCAGACUCAACGACGGUGCUCCGAGAAAUCGGGCGCCGCUCGCUACCAGAGGAACCCCAAACUCUAUGUAUUCUUAUGGAUCUUCUGAGUAAAACAAAACAAAUAAAUCAAAACUUUCAACAACGGAUCUCUUGGUUCUGGCAUCGAUGAAGAACGCAGCGAAAUGCGAUAAGUAAUGUGAAUUGCAGAAUUCAGUGAAUCAUCGAAUCUUUGAACGCACAUUGCGCCCGCCAGUAUUCUGGCGGGCAUGCCUGUUCGAGCGUCAUUUCAACCCUCAAGCCCUAGGGCUUGGUGUUGGGGAUCGGCGAUAGUCGCCGUCCCCCAAAUCUAGUGGCGGUCUCGCUGUAGCCUCCAUUGCGUAGUAGCUAACACCUCGCAACUGGAACGCGGCGCGGCCAAGCCGUUAAACCCCCCAACUUCUGAAUGUUGACCUCGGAUCAGGUAGGAAUACCCGCUGAACUUAAGCAUAUCAAUAAGCGGAGGA